Cyprinus carpio (common carp) is the source of this 430-nucleotide long non-coding RNA. Lineage: Eukaryota; Metazoa; Chordata; Actinopteri; Cypriniformes; Cyprinidae. The record is from Ensembl.
UAAUCAAUUAAGCAAUUAUCACGUCAUCACAGUCCUUUAAUAGUGGCAUCCAAGCAACUAUUGGGAAGAUAACAAAAGUCAGGAUCAAUUUCUACUGUGGCAUUUAGCACAGGCUUAUGGCGCUGCCAAGACGACAAAGACAUACAAACCUUAUGGUGCAGCUACGACAUCUGCUAGCAGAAGUUAACCGGGCCAUGCUAACCAGUCAAACUCUGACCCCUGGGUUCCCCCUUGUGAACGGCUCUGCCUGCAGGUCUCAUGAUUCACGCUGAAACUCUGACACUAAUGACUGCAUUACUGCGGAUGGUGUGGGUGUUUCAGAAUGGCUCCUGCUUUCAGUCGGUGUCUGAGGAUGCUGGAGACGCUGUGGGAGGGUGAAACUUUGGACUGCUUGUAAUUAUGACAAAUAAAAAGAGAGAAAAAGUUUUCA